ACCUCUGUGGUUAUUUUUUUCUUAAGUUAUAGGUAAGUUAGUUGUUUUUUCAAUGAAAAAUGAAAGCUGGUAAUUUUCUGCCCACUUCUCAGGCUUCCCCCACAAACCAGGCAUAUGGGCACCAGCACAAGGGGCCGGGCCAGCCCUGGAAGAAAAGAGGUGGUCGGCCCAUAGGCUCUGCCCAUCUCACACACUCCACACUGAGGGUUGUGGAGACAGGUGCCUGGAACUGGACUUGGAAAGCAAAAAGCAAUACUUUCCCUUCUCGCAAUUCUCCAUUAAUUCCCCCACCUCUGCAUUACUUCCUCAUUUUCCAGCAGAAAUGAAGAGGUUGAAUGAAGACCUGGCACCUCUUUGCAGUGUGGCCAUACACAUGAUUAGAAGAGCAUUUAGACUAGGCUAAGUGGAACAUUGGGGGGGAAAAAAGAAAGGGCAAAGGAAAAAUGAGCAGGAUCUCCAAAGUGGGAAUGUUUUAACCAAUGUUUUACGUGACAACAUUUUGAAUAAACAAAAAUAUUUCUUUUA
Alligator sinensis (Chinese alligator) is the source of this 525-nucleotide long non-coding RNA. RefSeq lists it as uncharacterized. The record is from RefSeq and is a predicted model, not a curated record. Lineage: Eukaryota; Metazoa; Chordata; Crocodylia; Alligatoridae. The transcript has 2 exons.